ACGACCAUUAUUCUAAAAAACAGAGAGAAAAGAAAACCAAAAACCAUUUCUUGGCUGGUUUGAAGAAAUUCUAAGGAGAUCCAAGUGAAAUCAAAGCCAAAGAAGUGGAUUAAGCUUAGUUCUAGCCUUUUUAUGAUAUUUAUUGGUGGUUUCCAAGUGGUUUGAGGUUUAGAAAAGCUUGAAGAGAUUGUUUUCGCCGAAAAGUUGCUCGGAUAAGCAUAUCAACACCUAAGACAUCACUUGUUACACGGUGAAAUAUAUUUGGGACAAAAGGUAGAGAAAAAAAUGUGUGAAUGACAUGAGGAGAACUGAAGCAUGGUCCUGACCCUGAUUUGUACAUAUGAACAUAUCGACCUUUUGUGGGUUAUUUCAGUUAUCAGUGAGAUGUUUGUAAUAAAGUGUGAAGUUAUGUUUUGAAAAUAAAUUGGGUUAUUUAAUACUUA
Humulus lupulus (European hop) is the source of this 443-nucleotide long non-coding RNA. RefSeq lists it as uncharacterized. Lineage: Eukaryota; Viridiplantae; Streptophyta; Magnoliopsida; Rosales; Cannabaceae. The transcript has 4 exons. The record is from RefSeq and is a predicted model, not a curated record.